AGAUAGUUCGAUGCUAGCGGCUACUAACUUUUCUUCUCUGCAGAGACGCUUUGCUAGUGAUCAGACCAGGAAGGCAUACACAGCAUUGAACGAGCAGUUCGAUGCGUACACCGGGGUCAUCUGGCAGCCCUACACGGAAGCAGCCAUACAAGCGAGAUACCCUGGUUGUAUGUCUGUGCUAUGCACAAGGGACCGAGAUUACUGGAUGACAAAAUCUAAGAUCAUCUUCGAUGUCUUCGUCGAGGAGAUGGCACAACAGAGGGUUAUGAGGCAAUUUGGUCUUCUGCAGUUGGAGCUACCCCCCCCUAUAGAGAACCCGGUGCCAGCACACAUCCACAGGACGACAAGGAAGGGCAUGACCAGGACAACUGCUGACUGGCUAGUUAGACUAGAGCCGUAUGUUAUAGAAUGGGAGACAGCAAACACAAAUCUAUGGCACGAGAAUCACAAUUUCGAUCUCGAUGAAUUCAAUCUCUAUUUGCGGGGCGCUACAUGACCGGAACACGGUUACGCAUUGUUGAGUACUCCCACCCAGAGGAGAUACCGGAUCCUACUCCGUCGGAUAUGUACCCGAGCUAUGAUACUUCGGGCUCUAGGCAGUACGCGGUAAGAUAUAUUUUCUUUACGUAAUGUUGUCACAUACUUUGACGU
This is a non-coding RNA of Aegilops tauschii subsp. strangulata, 651 nucleotides long. Lineage: Eukaryota; Viridiplantae; Streptophyta; Magnoliopsida; Poales; Poaceae. The record is from RefSeq and is a predicted model, not a curated record.